CACCCCCCUGGCCUGCACGAGUGGCUUGCAAAGAUGGCACAGGGAAUCCAUCCUGAACCGGUUAGUGAGCUGGUGGUGCAAAAACCCAAAACAGUUGGCAGGGACGGUCAGAGGUCCACACUGUAAAAGGCAUACAGGACCACAGCCAGAUCCAUAUGAUGGCAUCUGGAAGCAGAUUAUGCCAGGUGCAGCCCCACCCUCUCAUGGUUGUGUUGGAUGGGUUUCUGAGAUGGAAUGAAAGAGAACUUGGAUAUAUAUUGUGGCAAAUGCAUGAAUGCAUACCUUAAAUUACACUUAUCUUGUCUUUAACAAUCAGUUC
This is a long non-coding RNA of Oryzias latipes (Japanese medaka), 319 nucleotides long. RefSeq lists it as uncharacterized. Lineage: Eukaryota; Metazoa; Chordata; Actinopteri; Beloniformes; Adrianichthyidae. The record is from RefSeq and is a predicted model, not a curated record.